UUGAACUAUUUUGAGAUAAAAUGCCAUUUUUUCGCUGUCAUCCUUGAUCUUCCGUUCCAUUCUCUCCUGAGCGAGCCUUAGAGGGAGACGGCACGCUCACAAUCAGAUAGCGCUAUCAGCCCUCUGCAGCUGCACCGCCAUGUGCCGCUGUGCUCCUAUCGGCAGCCAGCACACAUACAGGCGUACACACAAGCUCCUAAGCACUGAAAUGAAUUCCCCUUUUCUUCUGUAUCCACAGAACUAGCCACAGAAAGGGCUCUGCAAUGCACUCCAUGAUCUAUCUGCACAUCCAGACGCUCUUUCUCUCUUUCGUGCGCGCGUACACAAACAUGGAGAGAUUUGGUCCUUUAUUUUAUUUUUCUUUUUUUUUUUUUAAGUCCCUCUAAUACAGACACACACAGACCGUUAAAGAAGACAGGACAAAAGGACAAGAGGAGAAGCAGCACUGACAUUUAGUUGGGAAUAACUUGCGUCUCCAAAAACUGAAAGUUUAAAACUCGGACUGGUCUGACAGAGUUUAUCUCACGAGUUGCCAUCUUUUAUUUCCUCCCUUAUUAGCUCUGCUCUCUUUUGCAGUCUAAGCUGGGUUUUUUUUUUUCAAAUCACCCUUUGUUCUUUUCUCUUUUGUCCCACUCUUUGCUCCCUAUUAAUGUCACAUUCUCCUGUUUUCUCCAUUGUAAGCAGUGUUUAUCUGAGGAGGCAGUGCUUCUAUCCCCAUCUCUGCCACUCUGCCAGUGUGUCUGCAGCCUGAUAACCCACCGAAGGGGAUUGCGAUGCUCAACGAUGUUGUGGCACUGUCAGCCCACCCACCUCCCAAUCUCUGUUCCUGUAGCCACCAUGCAGCCCCUCACCUGCCCUCAGGCACAAGGAGAAUGCUUCAGAGCACCCGUGCGCCCUCAUCUCAGAUCUGCUCCUUCCAUCCUCCAAAAUAUACAGCAUGGAAAUACCAAGCUCAUGUAAAUGAAGCCAAUGGAAAAACCCUACAAAACCUGCGGUUCCGAGUCAAUCCCCGUGGACUGCCAUAUUAACAUCUCUAACUUUCUAGCAAAAUUUAAUAUGUGAACAGGCUGAUAACUGUAUGCAGGAUGUGUCUGAACUCGCCUGUUUGAACUGUAUCAAGGCCUAAAGCUAUGCUCUAUCUACAGCCAACCAGUCUGCUGUCUAUCUGCUGGGUUUAACCUCCACCAGUUCAACUCACUGAACUAGAUCUCUUGACUGUUUUAAUGUUUGUGCCAUCUGGAGUUUUUAAUGUGGUCACCUUAAGGUAACUGUUGUUGUGAUUUGGCGCUCUAUCAAUAAAAAUAAAUUAAACUAAAUUAAAA
Maylandia zebra (zebra mbuna) is the source of this 1322-nucleotide long non-coding RNA. RefSeq lists it as uncharacterized. Lineage: Eukaryota; Metazoa; Chordata; Actinopteri; Cichliformes; Cichlidae. The record is from RefSeq and is a predicted model, not a curated record.